This 498-nucleotide ribosomal RNA is filed under the name uncultured bacterium. RNAcentral describes it as "bacterial SSU rRNA". It matches the Rfam family "Bacterial small subunit ribosomal RNA", at positions 28 to 520 of the family's 1533-position model. The record is from RNAcentral.
GAUGAACGCUAGCGGCGGGCCUAAUACAUGCAAGUUGAACGGGAUUGUUGGUAGCAAUAUUGACAUGAGAGUGGCGCACGGGUGCGUAACACGUAUGUAACCUACCUUUAACUGGGGCAUAGCUUCGAGAAAUCGAAAUUAAUACCCCAUAACAUUUAGAAAAGGCAUCUUUUCUUUAUCAAAGCUCAGGCGGUUAAGGAUGGACAUGCGGUGCAUUAGCUUGUUGGUGAGGUAACGGCUCACCAAGGCUACGAUGCAUAGGGGGUCUGAGAGGAUGAUCCCCCACACUGGUACUGAGACACGGACCAGACUCCUACGGGAGGCAGCAGUAGGGAAUAUUGGGCAAUGGACGAAAGUCUGACCCAGCCACGCCGCGUGCAGGAAGAAGGCGCUACGCGUUGUAAACUGCUUUUAACCGGGAAAAACCUCUGAUCGUGUACCAGAGCUGAUGGUACCGUAAGAAUAAGCAUCGGCUAACUCCGUGCCAGCAGCCGACGG